RNAcentral lists this long non-coding RNA (1528 nucleotides) under Sus scrofa (pig). Its description in RNAcentral is "lncRNA (ENSSSCG00005040707.1)". Lineage: Eukaryota; Metazoa; Chordata; Mammalia; Artiodactyla; Suidae. The record is from RNAcentral.
UGAAUGCCCAUUACAGGGAAUCCAUACGGGCACACCCAUAAAAACAUUUCAUAGCUCCUGGGUCUCUCAAGAGGAGUGGCGUGUGUGGCAGUCCUGGCUCUUCUCUUCCGCCAGCAAAUUUGCACCUGCUGCUAUGUCCUUUAAGUAUGUUUCAUUUUAUCACUGUCACCUUCCUCACACUUUUGCCCCCAGCUUUAUCCCCUCCUGGGUGACAAUCUGCUUCACCCAGUUUCCUGGGGGCUUUAAAAACCCAGGUCCAGUCGAAGUGGUGUUUCCUACGUUUCAACUUCACUCUCCCUUGUUGGCAUCUCUAGGCCAGUGCUAUGCCAAGAGGAGGAGCCUUGAACCCUCACGGUGUCAGUUCGUUGCACACACCCAAACCUUCCCACUGAGGAUUCCUUAAGUGCUAAUUAACCAAGGGGUGUUUUAAUUGAUUCAUAUUAUAAAACAUUCCUGGGAGAGUUUUGCAUGGUGUUUAAAAGUGCUACAGUGACAUACAGGGAUAUUUUGGGAACUGAUUGAGACUUGGGAUGGUCUGGGACUGCAUUAUAAUUUUUCUCAUUUAAAAUAAUAGAAGACAAGUGACUACUCUCUGAAAUGCACUAGCCCGUGUGUUUUCAUGAACAGAUUCGAGUCAAAUAAGAGGGGUGGUUGCAUAGGUGAAUAUAUGGCUGUGAAUCUAUACAUAUGCAUAUAUGAAUAAGAGAAAAGAGGAAGAGCAUCCGGGGGGGGGGUGUUCUGUGAAAUUGAGUCCAUUUGACAGAGACCCUGGGGUACUUUGAUGUAAUCCAUGGACUCCUCCCCACCCUCCACUCAUUAAGUCAAGACGGACUUUUCCUUCAUAGAAAAACCGAGCAGGUUUGGCAGAGAGCAAGAGAAGUGAGAAGAAAUGUUGAAUGACUGCAUGAGUCAUUGGAUGGAUGGGUAGAUGAAUGGGGAGGAGGAGAGUCAUGGGGCUGCCGCCUCUGCUUGCAGCCAAAAUAAAAACCACAAGCGUAGGAUGGAGGGCAAGGUGCUGAGCUUGCGGAUGAACCUCUGGGCUCAUCUUUGGGGAGGCAGCAAGGAAUCAGAACAGGCCUAGAGGCCAUGGUGGCUUCACUUCUUUUUGAUUUCCCUCCCUUCAAGCCUCCUUUCAUUUGGCUGAUAUUGGAGAGAGUUUAAAAAACCUCCUGCUGCAAAGGCCAAUGAGGAAGGACCCUGGGAGACCACGUUUUACUUGGAAAAUCAUCAACUACACAGUUUUGGACUUGCUGCUAAGAGUGGCCUGAGGAGAGGGAUGCAAGUUACUGAUGCAGGACAGUGAAGACUUUGCUUCUCAAGGAGAUGCUUUGGAGAGGACCGUGUCUGAAGAUGGAAGGAAUUUGGGGAAGUGCAGUUUAGUUGGGCAGUUAGAAGACUCAUUGGAAACAGUUGCAGAAGGAAGCCUAGAAUAACUUCAGUGAUCUCUAAGCUCAUUCCAUGGUUCAGAUACCCCCAACCCCCAAGCAUCUUAGAAUGUGUUUUUAUUUCCAGCUCAGUCUCUUCACAA